Long non-coding RNA from Brassica napus (rape), 3972 nucleotides. RefSeq lists it as uncharacterized. The record is from RefSeq and is a predicted model, not a curated record. NCBI's taxonomy places the organism in Eukaryota, Viridiplantae, Streptophyta, Magnoliopsida, Brassicales, Brassicaceae. The transcript has 2 exons.
UUUCAAAUUUUGAAAAAUAAAAAAAUUAAAAUUUUCAAAGGAUAAACUUAGAAAGAUGCUAUUUUGGUCAUUUUAGUUUUUGAGUGCUAUUUUUGUGAUAUAAACUUAGAAAUGUGCUAUUUUAGAGAUUUGCCCUUGAAAGUAUCUCAUUACAUUCGAUAGUACGACCACACGAAUUAUGAGUUUAUUGCUUACGAUUUAUUUAAUAUCUGGAAAUACACUUUAUAUGUGAGCUGUAUACCUCAUCGUUAACAUCGUAUGUGAAAUACGAAGAGAACCUAAGAGCAUGAGCAAUGGUAGUAUCUACCAUAGUCUCUAUUACUAAUAUAAUAAUAAAUCAAAGAAAAGUUAGAAAGAGAGGAUUGAAAAAGCAAGAAUCGAUUGCUGCUUAAGGUACUUUCAAUGAAAACUUGAGAAACUAACUGCUUCCAUAAGUGGAAGAACUAGUUUUAAAAUAAUUUUUUUUAAAAUAUUAAUAAAAUAAUGUUCAGAAACUCAUAAUUCAGAAACCUGACUAAUGAUGGUCUAAGUCCACUGAGAAUUAAUUCAUAUACAAAUUAUGCGAGGUAUAUAUUGGCGGAUCCAGUCGUUGUUUGAAUGAGAACAUAAAAAAAAUUAUAUAAACAUUUAUGGGUAUAUAAUAUUUUGUACAUGCAUCUUAUACUAACUUUUAUAAUUUAAAAAUUAAAUUUAAAAAAUUAUAAAAUUUAGAAAUGCAAAAACUAAUACGAAAGGAGAAAUAAUUAAAACCAAGUACCUAUAUAACGAAAAUAAAAAAAUAAUAUACAAAACAACUAUAUUUUAAUUUCUUAUCCAAAUCAUACAUAUGCAUAUUAAGGUGAUUGGUUGGGUUAUGACAAGUGUUUUAGCUUUAUUUUCUAUCUACAACCAUAAACAUUAUUAAUAAUAAUUUAUCUAAUCUAUUAAAACAGAAGUACAAAUAGUAUUUAGUCCUGAUUUUUCUUAAAAUAUUAUCAUCUUAUGCAACUGCAUAAAACACGGCCAUUUGAAAUAUAUUACCAUUAAUAAACGGUUCAAUGCUAUUGCCUUUUAAUACCGUCACUUUACAAAAUUAGUUAACCACCGAAAUAAUAAUGUAAAUCGAAUAUAGAUGACUCAUAACUAUUCACCUCUCGGUUUAGUAUCGUCUAAAAAGUCAAAUCAUAUCUAUUCAAAAUUCAAUUAAAUACUUUUAUAUACCAACUGUGUUCGUGUUUCAAAACCAAUUUUUCUAGGUUUAGUGAUGUGAUGUUUAGAUGUCAACAGAAUCAAAUUCAACCUUUAGAAAAUUCUGUUGACUACUUUUAUACCAACUUCGUAAAACGUCCAUUAUAUAAUUAUAUAUCAUUAUUAUUCAAGCAUGCAAUUAUACAGUAUCUAAGUUUAGUUUGAAUAGAUAUAACUAAACUGAUUACAUGUUUUGGUUUCUAUUUUUAUUACAGUUGUUUGUUUCUCGGUUUUUCUUCAUAGUAUUUACAACCAUUUUUGACAAUAACUUUUUUUUUGUUUUAUAUCCAAAAUUUAUUGAAAAUGCUAAAAUUGAUUAUAAAAAGAUAUUUUCUGUCCACCAAAUCUAAACUAAUAAAUUCAUACCGCAAUUAAAUUACAUGUAUCAUUUAAAAAACCUUUUCUAUUUUAAAGCAAUCAUCAUAACUAAAAGGAUAGUUUCAUAUUUCGGCAUCACUUCAAGUUGACAUUGUUGCUUAUGGAGGUAAAAGGAUUCCCCAUUUUAGUGUGUAAUCUUUCAUGUUUUUUUGGACUCCAUGAUUGCAUUGCAUUGUUUGAAACGCUUUUAUUUUUUUGGAACUCAUGAAUAGGUUCUAUUCCUCAUGAAGCUGUUUUAAAGAAUCCUUAAAUGCACGUCCAUACCAUGGUAUCCUUCCUUCCAUCAACUCCUUGACAUAAACUUCUUGAAAGUAUUUAGUAUCAUGAUCAUCUGUUUCUUUCUUUCUUUCUUUUUUGGGAUGUAAAACAGGCGCAGCUUCGGUUCAUUAACCUCUUGCCAAAGUACCAGCACCUGACAUUUUCUUGGUUCAGAAUCCACCUUCCAGUCCAACACUAAUUGCUGUUAAGUGGGCGAGUUCAUGGAGGCGUGCAGCGUUUCUUGUAGAUUGGCAUAAUUUCGGAUAUACAUUGCUGGCAUUGUCUUUAGGAAGAAACAAUGUCUUUGUAUCCUUAUACCGCUGGUAAGUACAAAACUAAUCAUAGUGGUUCUUCUUCCAACUUCGAGUUACAGAAGUUCUCUGUUUUUACUCCUCCCUCGGAACUGUAAUGAACUGUCUCGUUUACUUCCUCAUCAUGGCCUGAAGAGUAAUAAACAUCGAUCAUCAAGAAGUUUUUGCUUUGACCUUCUAACGUCGGAACAUCACAAGUGUAAAGACUAUCAUCGCAUCUUUCUCCUUGAGGCUCUUCUCCUUGACGAAACCGUUCCAUCCUCUAGUGAAGACAAAGCUCUGGCUACAUCUCCAGUAACAAAGGCAUGAGGUUAGUGGUCUUUUCUUCCCUUUGGUGUCUAUGAUAUCAUUAGUAGAGGUAUAUUCUUGAAAUAAAUAAAAAGAUUUUCAUCUUUUGAUUCGUUUUAAGCUUCUUCAUUCAUUCUGAUGCUAAAUCUUUUAAUUCAAGUUUAGAAUUGGAGAAUCAAAAGGUUAAUAAAUAAAAAGAUUUUCAUCUUUUUUAUAAGAACCUCUAAAUAAGAGCACAAUUAUCCAAGGUUUUUAAGAGGUAUCUUGGUAUAAUUAGAAUUAGAAAAAAAAGAAAAAUAGCAAUUAAGUUAAGGGACCUUUCUUAAAUAAGGUCCAGAAGAACCGUUUCUUAUAUAACACGUGGCAGGAGAUUUUGUAGCGUUUUUUUUUCCUCUCGUUCACCUAUCUCCUGCCAAAUCAUCGUCGCCGUGAACCUCGCCAUCCCGUCGUUCACGGCAGAAGUAGCAACGACGAAGUAGCUGUAAAGCAAUGUCCCUUCUUCUCCUUUCCUCUAUCUACACCUAAAAUCUUCCCUGCUCUACAUCUCGCGGCGGAGCCACGGAAGGAUUCAGCGACGGCUAAUUGGGCGGCUGCACUGUUGCAUAUAAAUAAUUCUUCAAUUUCUCGGAGGAGGAGAGGAGAUUAAGGUUUUGGAGAUUGUUUUUCUAUUUCUAUUGAGUUGAAAGUCGAAACCCUAGCCAUUCGAGGAUGGAUCUGAGAUUAUGCUGUUGAGGAGGCAAUGGAGGCUUCUUUACCUGCUUUGGACCGGCCACGAGGUGCUGCUUCUAAUACGGGAAUGGAGCUUUUUUGCUUCUUCUUUUUUUACGGCUAUACAUUUUUAUCGUGGUAUGGUAAUUAUGGUUUAGUUUUGUUUCCAAGCUUUAAUUGUCGACCAUAGACUCUUCUAGAAUUGCUAAAAAAGACAAGUCUUUUUCUUUUUGUAUACAAUUGAAGUUUGGUAGAUUGUAUUAUUCACAUUAGUAUCAGACAGUGGUUCUUCUAGGAAUGUCAUGACAUACAUGGCUUUUGAUUAGUAUUAUGACAAGCUCUGAUUAGCUGUUCCUUGUAUUCUUAAGUCCGUGAUCAUCAUGAGGUUGUGAAUAUGGUGGAGGCAGAGUAGUGAAGGAUCUGCUGGAUCUGUGAAUAUGGUACUGAUCUUGAAGCAGAAGGUGAAACAUCUCCAACACAAACUCGAGGAAGCCAGAGCUGAUCUCAAUGCAAAGGAAGCCAGGAUCCAAGAACUAGAAUACUCAAAGAUUGAAUCUGAAUUUGAAGGCAUUUUCCAGGGAAAGAUCGAAGCUGAAAUCAAGCACUUGGUGCCAACAAAGAGGUGUUUGUCGACAAUAGAGAGUAUUGUAUACGCGAUGAAGGAGAUGGGUGAAGAUACUGAAAGUUUGGAUAAUAUGUUGGAUUUUUUGAAUCCAUGGUUGGAGAUCAAAGAAGAUGUAAAGAUGAGAACGUUGGAAUUUUUUUUUCAAGAACCCUUAGUUAAGAAACUAGCAUUGAAGCA